This 2158-nucleotide long non-coding RNA is filed under the name Ananas comosus (pineapple). RNAcentral describes it as "long non-coding RNA (ACOM_LNC021557)". The record is from RNAcentral. Lineage: Eukaryota; Viridiplantae; Streptophyta; Magnoliopsida; Poales; Bromeliaceae.
UAUUGAGGGAUAUAAUUGUGGAAAGAAGAGAUCAGAUUUAUUAAAUCCAAUCAAAUUUGAUCUAAUUCAAUUGUUGAUGCCAAAAUUAAAACUAACAUGCCGAUCUAACUCACGUAUGAGCCAAGAAAAUAAGAACACGUGGUACACCAGGAGUCGGCAAUAAGGCGCCUGAAGGUUGAGAGCGUUUAGGUGAGAACGGUUGAGAAGUGGGGCAUAACUUCCACGAUCAUGGUUACAACCACUCCCCCAACUACUUUCAACAAACUAAUAAUGUGGGUUGAUAUUACUAUAAAUAGUAAUUUCGAAGCCUGCAAUAGGGGUCUUUCUCUCCCCUGAACGAGAAGACCACAGCAUUUUCAAUACUUUCCUUUUCUGCAUUUAUCGUUUUCUAGGAGUAGUCUAUAUGUAAUCUUUUUUACCCGCAUUUACUGCUUUUCUAGAAAUAAUUUUUAAGUUAGAUCUCUAGAGUCUGUAUACCCCACGGGCACACUCUAUUGUAAUCUAGAUUUUCAGAGUCUGUAUGCCCUUCGGGUACACUCUACUUUAUUAAUAUAUGAAGGCAUUCGGCUCUUUCAGCCGACCAAUCACUGUGUUUUCUUCCAUUCGGCUCUUUCGGCCGACCAGUUACUAUAUAUUCCAUCCAUUCGGCUCAUCAGCCGACCCCAGAUCUUGUGUUUUCUGUACAUUCGGCUCAAUCUAGCCUAACUGAUUCUAUAGUAAAUGUUUUCGAACCCGACUAAUCCGAUCCCUCAUCAGCCGAAUCGCUUGAUCUAGUCGAAGGGCGCGAACUUCGAGGGUCAGUACCAUAAGCCGUUUCCAUCCCGACACGUUCCCCUAGGAGGAUCUUUGACAGGGUUAAAGAGAAGGAAAUUCGGCUACCAACAUCAAUAAAUUUAAUUUGCUUAUAUUUCUCAAUAGCGUCACGCUAUAUAUUGUUUGAAUCUCCAUGGACAUAGCUUGAGAAUCACCCAAAAUAUUGCUCUUCUAUGUUCGAAAGUGAUAGCGACAAAUGUAGUUAUCAGAAACAUAAUUCAAAUUUAUUUAAUUCUAUCAAAUUCAGUCGGUAAAUAAUGAUCGAACUUAAUAAAUCUGUCGAUUUAUACACGAUAUUAGUUUCCCAUCUUAUGUUGUCAAACUCGAAUCUCCUUUAAACAUCACUAUGAGUCUCCCAAAUUGUUAUAUCAUUCAAAUUGUUAUAUAUGCGAACACAACAAUAAGAAAAUUUUUGUUCUCUCGAAAAUAUCUUAAAAAAUAGUUUUUGGCUAGAGAAAUACAACUCCAUCUCUUUGGUUUUCAAAACAAAACAUUUUUCUAAAAAAGUUUUUUUUUUAUUUUAGAUUUUAUGAAAUGUUAAUUUUGAAAACUAAAGAAAAAAUAUUUUUCAUGAUUUUUCAAGGAACCAAAUAACCCCUAAUAUACAUUAAAAAAAUGCUAAAUUACAUAAAUCUCUUUAUAACUAUCCGCUUUUUCACUUUUCCUCCCAACUUUCAAAAAUCUGUAUUUUACUCCCUCAACACUUCAAGUUGUUGCAUUUAGCCUCUCUCCAUCAGGUUCUAUAACUAUUCCGUUUAUUUUUUAUAAUUUAUACCGAAAAUAUGCUAAAAAAAGAAGAAAUACACUAAAAAUUAUUUUUUAUAGAAAAAUAAAGAUAAUUUAGUUAUUUUGCUCUCUUUAUUAAUAUCGUACUCUUUGGAAAAUAUUUUUAAAAUUUUAAGGAGGUAAAAUAUAAAUUUUUAAAUGUUGGAAUUAUAUAAUUUAGCCUUAAAAAAAAUUUGUGGGGGGCAACUAAGCAUUUAAUAUCUCCAUUUUUUUUUUUUUUCAAGAUACCUUUCCUUAUAAAAUGUGGAAUUUACAUCCAUGCAUGUGCCAUAAUUGUUCUCUUCCCCAACAUCUAAAAUGUGGGGUAUUUGCAUAUUUGGCUAUUUCUUUCCCUUUUUGAGAACAAUUUUGAAAAUUAAUUUCACAAGUCUAAUUAGUUUCUAUAAAAAUUUAAUUUUUAAUAUUACUUUUUUAUUUUUAAAAAUAAUUCUUUUAUCAAAUUAUGCUAACAGUUAUCAGCACAGUUUUUAAAUUUCGCAGCCACAUAUUUUGUCGUACUGGACUCGACCAGAAUUUCUGUGAAAAAAUACUGUUUCGAAUAUAGCUGAUCUAAUACAUC